This 465-nucleotide ribosomal RNA is filed under the name uncultured Klebsiella sp. Its description in RNAcentral is "bacterial SSU rRNA". It matches the Rfam family "Bacterial small subunit ribosomal RNA", at positions 338 to 795 of the family's 1533-position model. The record is from RNAcentral. Lineage: Bacteria; Pseudomonadati; Pseudomonadota; Gammaproteobacteria; Enterobacterales; Enterobacteriaceae.
CCUACGGGAGGCAGCAGUGGGGAAUAUUGCACAAUGGGCGAAAGCCUGAUGCAGCCAUGCCGCGUGUGUGAAGAAGGCCUUCGGGUUGUAAAGCACUUUCAGCGGGGAGGAAGGCGUUAAGGUUAAUAACCUUGGCGAUUGACGUUACCCGCAGAAGAAGCACCGGCUAACUCCGUGCCAGCAGCCGCGGUAAUACGGAGGGUGCAAGCGUUAAUCGGAAUUACUGGGCGUAAAGCGCACGCAGGCGGUCUGUCAAGUCGGAUGUGAAAUCCCCGGGCUCAACCUGGGAACGGCAUUCGAAACUGGCAGGCUAGAGUCUUGUAGAGGGGGGUAGAAUUCCAGGUGUAGCGGUGAAAUGCGUAGAGAUCUGGAGGAAUACCGGUGGCGAAGGCGGCCCCCUGGACAAAGACUGACGCUCAGGUGCGAAAGCGUGGGGAGCAAACAGGAUUAGAUACCCGAGUAGUC